UUCGCGGCUGGGCGCCUCGCGCCUGUCCCGCCCGACUCGUGCCUCUUCUGAGCCGCAGCCCCAGCCCCAGCCCCAAUCUCAAUCUCUCCGGCCGGCAGAGGUUGGAAGACAGGAAGCCGAUUAGAAAGGAAGGUGAAGGAAACAAGAGUCAGACAGCGGAAAGUGGGAGCAAAGGGAGAAGAAAAUGAAGCUUCCUACUUCACGACAAAAAAAACGACUUUCAGAAGUACCAAUCUGCAACAGCUUGAAAAUUUGAAAACCUGAUCCUUCACCACAGGUGCUUUUGCUUGCAAGGUCAAAAUCAGAAGUUCAGGAAGAUCACCUGAAUCCAGAGCUUUUGAUUUCAGAAGCCUAGGUUCAUUGAGGAAAAGUAUGCUGACUUGUCCCAGAGGGUUAACAAGUGAAUGCUUUUGAGUAGAGGUGGGAGAAGCUGUCUGACAUAGAAGUUGAGCUUCUCCGGGACAAGAGAGGAGACGGGAGUAAUGGUAGAUUCCAUGAGCAUCAAGGACUACUUUUGCUGCCUUUUAGUGUGCUAAAGAAGAUACAAGAUCUCAAGAGAGAAUGGAGACAUGGUACACUUAAGAAAGUCUGAAUACUAGUCCGUGAGGAUGCCAGCUUCAGCCAAAACACCCUGCUAUCACCACCAAUGUGCAAGAGUGGCACAGAAGCAGCUACCCCGUCUAACUUUAAGGGGAUUUGCCUGACAAACAUAUCAACAAUGUUGGGUAUGCACAAAAGGGCAUAGGACCUACACUGAAAGUUGUGUUCUGGGUAUCAUUUGCUAGGGUCUUCAUACAACCUUGACAGAAGGAGGUAAAAACCAUGAGGGAGAUUGAAUUUUUAGCCAGCUGGAAAGGUGAAAGGCUCAGAGCAGAUUGAAUUUUGUUGUAGGGAUAUAAAGAAAUGUGACAUUUUUUGCCAGUUGUUAGAAUGGCGAUCAUUAAAAAGUCAGGAAACAACAGAUGCUGGAGAGGAUGUGGAGAAAUAGGGACGCUUUUAU
Molecule: long non-coding RNA, 1000 nt
Filed under: Homo sapiens (human)
Lineage: Eukaryota; Metazoa; Chordata; Mammalia; Primates; Hominidae
Description: HSALNT0408430
Source: RNAcentral